Molecule: ribosomal RNA, 373 nt
Filed under: Macaca mulatta (Rhesus monkey)
Lineage: Eukaryota; Metazoa; Chordata; Mammalia; Primates; Cercopithecidae
Description: partial 12S ribosomal RNA
Rfam family: Bacterial small subunit ribosomal RNA
Source: RNAcentral
CCUCAGUAGUUAGAUAACAAAACUACUCGCCAGAAUACUACAAGCAACAGCUUGAAACUCAAAGGACUUGACGGUGCUUUACAUCCCCCUAGAGGAGCCUGUUCCAUAAUCGAUAAACCCCGAUCCACCCUACCCUCUCUUGCUCAGCCUAUAUACCGCCAUCUUCAGCAAACCCUAAUGAGGGCCACAAAGUGAGCGCAAACGCCACCACCGCGAAUACGUUAGGUCAAGGUGUAGCCCAUGAGACGGUAAAAAAUGGGCUACAUUUUCUAUUUCAGAAAACCCACGAAAACCCUUAUGAAACUUAAGGGUCCAAGGAGGAUUUAGCAGUAAAUUAAGAAUAGAGUGCUUAAUUGAACCAGGCCAUAAAGCG